AUAUGCAUUGAGAUGGAUUGGGAU
RNAcentral lists this microRNA (24 nucleotides) under Zea mays. RNAcentral describes it as "microRNA miR-3130b". The record is from RNAcentral. Lineage: Eukaryota; Viridiplantae; Streptophyta; Magnoliopsida; Poales; Poaceae.